RNAcentral lists this ribosomal RNA (393 nucleotides) under uncultured bacterium. RNAcentral's name for it is "bacterial SSU rRNA". It matches the Rfam family "Bacterial small subunit ribosomal RNA", at positions 32 to 408 of the family's 1533-position model. The record is from RNAcentral.
AAUCAACGCUGGCGGCGUGCCUCAGACAUGCAAGUCGAACGAGAAGUCCCCUUCGGGGGAUGGAUAGUGGCGCACGGGUGAGUAACACGUGGGUAAUUUACCUUUGGGUGGGGAACAACAGCCGGAAACGGCUGCUAAUACCGCAUAAUGCAGCGGCUCCUCAUGGAGACAGUUGUUAAAGCGGGGGAUCGCAAGACCUCGCGCCUGAAGAGAAGCCCGCGGCAGAUAGCUAGUUGGUAAGGUAAUGGCUUACCAAGGCGACGAUCUGUAACCGGCCUGAGAGGGCGGUCGGUCACACUGACACUGACAUACGGGUCAGACUCCUACGGGAGGCAGCAGUCGGGAAUUUUGGGCAAUGGGCGAAAGCCUGACCCAGCAACGCCGCGUGAAGGA